AUUGAACGCUGGCGGCAGGCCUAACACAUGCAAGUCGAACGGUAACAGGAAGAAGCUUGCUUCUUUGCUGACGAGUGGCGGACGGGUGAGUAAUGUCUGGGAAACUGCCUGAUGGAGGGGGAUAACUACUGGAAACGGUAGCUAAUACCGCAUAACGUCGCAAGACCAAAGAGGGGGACCUUCGGGCCUCUUGCCAUCGGAUGUGCCCAGAUGGGAUUAGCUAGUAGGUGGGGUAACGGCUCACCUAGGCGACGAUCCCUAGCUGGUCUGAGAGGAUGACCAGCCACACUGGAACUGAGACACGGUCCAGACUCCUACGGGAGGCAGCAGUGGGGAAUAUUGAACAAUGGGCGCAAGCCUGAUGCAGCCAUGCCGCGUGUAUGAAGAAGGCCUUCGGGUUAUAAAGUACUUUCAGCGGGGAGGAAGGGAGUAAAGUUAAUACCUUUGCUCAUUGACGUUACCCGCAGAAGAAGCACCGGCUAACUCCGUG
Molecule: ribosomal RNA, 490 nt
Filed under: uncultured bacterium
Lineage: Bacteria
Description: partial 16S ribosomal RNA
Rfam family: Bacterial small subunit ribosomal RNA
Source: RNAcentral